GACGAACGCUGGCGGCGCGCCUAACACAUGCAAGUCGAACGGAGCUGAGAGAAGCUUGCUUUUCUUAGCUUAGUGGCGAACGGGUGAGUAACGCGUGAGUAACCUGCCCUGGAGUGGGGGACAACAGUUGGAAACGACUGCUAAAACCGCAUAAGCCCACGAUCCGGCAUCGGAUUGAGGGAAAAGGAUUUAUUCGCUUCAGGAUGGACUCGCGUCCAAUUAGCUAGUUGGUGAGGUAACGGCCCACCAAGGCGACGAUUGGUAGCCGGACUGAGAGGUUGAACGGCCACAUUGGGACUGAGACACGGCCCAGACUCCUACGGGAGGCAGCAGUGGGGGAUAUUGCACAAUGGGGGAAACCCUGAUGCAGCGACGCCGCGUGGAGGAAGAAGGUUUUCGGAUUGUAAACUCCUGUCGUGAGGGACGAUAAUGACGGUACCUAACAAGAAAGCACCGGCUAACUACGUG
This 468-nucleotide ribosomal RNA is filed under the name uncultured bacterium. RNAcentral's name for it is "partial 16S ribosomal RNA". It matches the Rfam family "Bacterial small subunit ribosomal RNA", at positions 28 to 507 of the family's 1533-position model. The record is from RNAcentral.